CCUCCACAAUCUUGCUUGCUGGUUAUCACUAAAUGAGAUAUAUACUUAAAAUGGAAACAUCUUGAUUGCUGUGAAUCCAUUCCAAAGACCUCCACAUUUGUAUAGCGUCCAUAUGAUGGAGCAGUAUAAAGGAGCUGCGUUUGGAGAGCUAAGCCCACAUCUGUUUGCCGGUUGCAGACACCAGUUAUAGGCGAUGAUAAAUGAGGCAAAGAGCAAGUCUAUUUUGGUUAGUGGAGAGAGUGGAGCUGGGAAGACGGAGACAACCAAAAAGCUCAUGAGAUAUCUUGCAUUCAUGGGAGGCAGAU
This is a long non-coding RNA of Brassica oleracea var. oleracea, 305 nucleotides long. RefSeq lists it as uncharacterized. NCBI's taxonomy places the organism in Eukaryota, Viridiplantae, Streptophyta, Magnoliopsida, Brassicales, Brassicaceae. The transcript is spliced from 3 exons. The record is from RefSeq and is a predicted model, not a curated record.